Molecule: ribosomal RNA, 466 nt
Filed under: uncultured bacterium
Lineage: Bacteria
Description: partial 16S ribosomal RNA
Rfam family: Bacterial small subunit ribosomal RNA
Source: RNAcentral
GAUGAACGCUGGCGGCGUGCUUAACACAUGCAAGUCGAACGAUGAAGCCCAGCUGGCUGGGUGGAUUAGUGGCGAACGGGUGAGUAACACGAGAGUAACCUGCCCUUAACUCUGGGAUAAGCCUGGGAAACUGGGUCUAAUACCGGAUAGGAGCGUCCACCCCAUGGUGGGUGUUGGAAAGAUUUAUCGGUUUUGGAUGGACUCGCGGCCUAUCAGCUUGUUGGUGAGGUAAUGGCUCACCAAGGCGACGACGGGUAGCCGGCCUGAGAGGGUGACCGGCCACACUGGGACUGAGACACGGCCCAGACUCCUACGGGAGGCAGCAGUGGGGAAUAGUGCACAAUGGGCGCAAGCCUGAUGCAGCGACGCCGCGUGAGGGAUGACGGCCUUCGGGUUGUAAACCUCUUUCAGUAGGGAAGAAGCGAAAGUGACGGUACCUGCAUAAGAAGCACCGGCUAACUACGUG